This 894-nucleotide ribosomal RNA is filed under the name uncultured archaeon. RNAcentral describes it as "bacterial SSU rRNA". It matches the Rfam family "Archaeal small subunit ribosomal RNA", at positions 23 to 924 of the family's 1478-position model. The record is from RNAcentral.
CUGACUGCUAUCGGAUUGGUACUAAGCCAUGCGAGUCGUUGUAGCAAUACAAGGCGGACGGCUCAGUAACACGUAGUCAACCUAACCUAUGGACGUGGAUAACCUCGGGAAACUGAGAAUAAACCGCGAUAGAUCAUAAUGCCUGGAAUGGCUUAUGGUUAAAAUAAUUUAUUGCCGUAGGAUGGGACUGCGGCCUAUCAGCUUGUUGGUGAGGUAAUGGCCCACCAAGGCUAUAACAGGUACGGGCUCUGAGAGGAGAAGCCCGGAGAUGGGUACUGAGACACGGACCCAGGCCCUAUGGGGCGCAGCAGGCGAGAAACCUUAGCAAUGUGCGAAAGCACGACUAGGUUAAUCCGAGUGAUUUCUGUUGAAGAAAUCUUUUGUCAGUCGUAAAGCCACAGACGAAUAAGGGGUGGGCAAGUCUGGUGUCAGCCGCCGCGGUAAUACCAGCACCUCGAGUGGUCAGGAGGUUUAUUGGGCCUAAAGCAUCCGUAGCCGGCUAUGCAAGUCUCCGGUUAAAUCCAACUGCUCAACAGAUGGGCUGCCGGAGAUACUACACAGCUAGGGAGCGGGAGAGGUAGACGGUAUUCUGUGGGUAGGGGUAAAAUCCACUGAUCCAUAGAGGACCACCAGUGGCGAAGGCGGUCUACCAGAACGCGUUCGACGGUGAGGGAUGAAAGCUGGGGGAGCAAACCGGAUUAGAUACCCGGGUAGUCCCAGCUGUAAACGAUGCAAACUCGGUGAUGCAUUGACUUAUGGUCAAUGCAGUGCCGCAGGGAAGCCGUUAAGUUUGCCGCCUGGGAAGUACGGACGCAAGUCUGAAACUUAAAGGAAUUGGCGGGGGAGCACCACAAGGGGUGAAGCCUGCGGCUCAAUUGGAGUCAACGCCGGGAA